GUCGUUGUAGCUUAUUUUUACAAAGCGCGGCACUGAAGAUGCCGAGACGAGGAACGGAAAAACCUCCACAGACA
Molecule: transfer RNA, 74 nt
Filed under: Darevskia parvula
Lineage: Eukaryota; Metazoa; Chordata; Lepidosauria; Squamata; Lacertidae
Description: tRNA-Phe
Rfam family: tRNA
About the family: Transfer RNA (tRNA) molecules are approximately 80 nucleotides in length. Their secondary structure includes four short double-helical elements and three loops (D, anti-codon, and T loops).
Source: RNAcentral